Molecule: long non-coding RNA, 298 nt
Filed under: Spirodela polyrhiza (greater duckweed)
Lineage: Eukaryota; Viridiplantae; Streptophyta; Magnoliopsida; Alismatales; Araceae
Description: long non-coding RNA (SPOL_LNC000183)
Source: RNAcentral
CCACUCUCUCUCUCUCUCUCUCUCUCUCUCUCAACCAGUCACUUCUGCUCGAUGAAGAAAGAUGAAGCAAACCCUUCCUUCCUCCUGCUCAAGCUCGCUCCCCACCACCGCUGCCUCUCCGAUUCCUCGCAGCAGGGAGAACCCUCCUCCUCCCUUCUCUCCCAACAACGCCCAUUCCCUUCCUCAAUCUCUCUCUCUCUCUCUAUCUUGCUCCCUUUCUCUCUCUGAACUGGGGCGCUCGCUGGAGCUCUCUCAAGGGCGCUCUGAGAGGGGGGAGAGGAAACAGUUCUGAGGUGCG